Callithrix jacchus (white-tufted-ear marmoset) is the source of this 163-nucleotide small nuclear RNA. Its record names the gene U1. It matches the Rfam family "U1 spliceosomal RNA". From Rfam's summary of the family: U1 is a small nuclear RNA (snRNA) component of the spliceosome (involved in pre-mRNA splicing). Its 5' end forms complementary base pairs with the 5' splice junction, thus defining the 5' donor site of an intron. There are significant differences in sequence and secondary structure between metazoan and yeast U1 snRNAs, the latter being much longer (568 nucleotides as compared to 164 nucleotides in human). The record is from Ensembl. Lineage: Eukaryota; Metazoa; Chordata; Mammalia; Primates; Cebidae.
AUACUUACCUGUCAGGGGAGGUACCAUGAUCACGAAGAUGGUUUUACCGGAACAAGUCUUAUCUAGUGCACUCUGGAUGUGCUGACCCCUGCAAUUUCAUCAAAUGUGGGAAACUUGAUUGCAUAUUUUUGGUAGUGGGGAAUUGCAUUUGCACUUUACCCUG